Non-coding RNA from Ictidomys tridecemlineatus (thirteen-lined ground squirrel), 442 nucleotides. The record is from RefSeq and is a predicted model, not a curated record. Lineage: Eukaryota; Metazoa; Chordata; Mammalia; Rodentia; Sciuridae.
GGAAACUAAGACGUUGAGAGGUUCAACUACUCACCCCAAUCACAAAACUCUGAACUGGCCAAAGUGGAAGACCCGUCCCAACUCCAAAGUCCACACGGGUGGCUUGCUCAUCUCUAUAUCCCCAGAACUCAGCCAAGUGUCAGGAGGCAAGCUUUUAUGUGGUCCAGAAGAAGGCCCGGCCAGAACAUUCCAGCUUACACAGAGGAAAUCAAAGGAAAUGUUUAUAAUCACAGGACAAAGUCUGAACCCAGAAGUAGAGCAGAACUCUGGAGGAUGAGAAUCCAUCAUCUCUGAAGAAUCAUAUCCCACCGCCGCCCAUCCUCGCAUCUCAUCCUAAUUUGAUUCGUGUGUACGUGUUUUCUGCAUUUCUAUCUCUUGCCAGCGUCUGUUCCUGGCAGAAGUUUCUGAUUUUUGAGUCAAUAAAAACCAGAGUCCAAAAGUA